ACUUCGGGUAUAGCCUGGGAAACUGGGUCUAAUACCGGAUAUGACCUUCGGCUGCAUGGCUGAGGGUGGAAAGGUUUACUGGUGCAGGAUGGGCCCGCGGCUUAUCAGCUUGUUGGUGGGGUAAUGGCCUACCAAGGCGACGACGGGUAGCCGACCUGAGAGGGUGACCGGCCACACUGGGACUGAGACACGGCCCAGACUCCUACGGGAGGCAGCAGUGGGGAAAUAUUGCACAAUGGGCGAAAGCUGAUGCAGCGACGCCGCGUGAGGGAUGACGGCCUUCGGGGUGGUAAACCUCUUUCAGCAGGGACGAAGCGAAAGUGACGGUACCUGCAGAAGAAGCACCGGCCAACUACGUGGCAGCAGCCGCGGAAUACA
Molecule: ribosomal RNA, 378 nt
Filed under: Rhodococcus opacus
Lineage: Bacteria; Bacillati; Actinomycetota; Actinomycetes; Mycobacteriales; Nocardiaceae
Description: bacterial SSU rRNA
Rfam family: Bacterial small subunit ribosomal RNA
Source: RNAcentral